This 1207-nucleotide ribosomal RNA is filed under the name Cyclophorus hirasei. RNAcentral's name for it is "partial 16S ribosomal RNA". The stretch from base 668 to 828 matches the Rfam family "Archaeal large subunit ribosomal RNA", at positions 1888 to 2091 of the family's 2987-position model. Lineage: Eukaryota; Metazoa; Mollusca; Gastropoda; Architaenioglossa; Cyclophoridae. The record is from RNAcentral.
AGUUUUAAUAUUUUAAUACAAAUUUUUUUAAAAAAGAAACAUCAUUUAUAUUAGUAAUGGUGAAAGAAUAAUUAUACGUAAAUAUAUGCAUAGUCGUACCGUAUGGGAAUACAUAAAAUUUUUUUCUAGUAGAAUUUAAUUCGUACCUUUUGCAUCAUGGUUUAGCAAGAAAAUUUUUUGAAUUAAAUUUCUCGAAACCUAAGGAGCUACCUUAAUUUUGGUUUAGCCUUAUAUAAGAGUGAAUGUGGCACAAUUCUAUUUAAAAUUUAAGGUAGAAAUUAAAUGUUAUCCGUCUUAGGUGAUAGCUAGUUAUAAUAUAAAGAUAUAUAAGUAUCGGAUAUAAUUUUACUAUAUGUUUAUUUUAUGUAUAUAAUAAUUUAUUUUCUUGGCUAUGUGAGGAUAAGCUCGCAUAAAGUUUAAUUUAACUAAAAUUAUGUAUAAAUCUAAGCUUGGAAUUAGCUAUGAUAUCGAAUUUGUUAAAAAUGCAUGUAUACAAAAACCUUUAUAAUAUAUUGAAUCCAUAUUAUUCUACUAUAUAAUUAAAACAUAAUUGAUUUAUGCUAAAAUGAGUAUUAAUUAUAAAUUAAAAUAAAAAUAAACAUAAAUUUUUUUUAAAAAAAAUUUUAUAAACAUUAUGAAAUAUAUUAUAGGAACUCGGCAAAAUUUAACUCCGCCUGUUUAGCAAAAACAUGUCUCUUUGAGGAUAAGAUAUAAAGAGUCUAGCCUGCCCGGUGACGUAGUUUAACGGCUGCAGUAUCCUGACUGUGCAAAGGUAGCAUAAUAACUUGUCUUUUAAUUGAAGGAUAGAAUCAACGGCUUGACGAGAGUGAAACUGUCUUUUUUAUUUUUAUUAUAAAUUAUCCUUUAAGUUAAAAGACUUAAAUAUAACUAAGGGACGAUAAGACCCUAUUGAGCUUAAAAAAAAUAAAGUGAUUAUUCGUUUAUUAAUAAAAUUGAUAAUAAUUUUAAUUUAUUUUGGUUGGGGCGACUGCGGGGUAUAUAAAACCUCCGAUUUAAAAAAUCUAUUCGUAUUUAUUGAUCCUUAAUUUAAGAUAAAACGAAUUAGUUACCAUAGGGAUAACAGCGCACCGCUUCUAGGGAGACCAUAUUUCUUGGGGAGAUUGCGACCUCGAUGUUGGAUUAAGGUAUACUAAAAGGUGCAGGAGCUUUUUAAGUUAGUCUGUUCGACUAUUAAAUCCUUACAUGA